Molecule: long non-coding RNA, 301 nt
Filed under: Nicotiana benthamiana
Lineage: Eukaryota; Viridiplantae; Streptophyta; Magnoliopsida; Solanales; Solanaceae
Description: long non-coding RNA (NBEN_LNC023252)
Source: RNAcentral
CGGCGUUUCCUCUCGCGGAUUAAACUCCAUUGUCCAUGGGAAAGUUCUAAUGAAGAACUCGCUUCCUUUAGAUCGUAUAUAGCCAUUUGUUCUUGACACCACUUGAGCAAAAUCUUCAAACAAAUCAAAUCUUACAAGAAUGUGACGAUAUUCUAACUGACCUAUGUUAUAACUUCCUUUGACACCAAAUUGAUUCGGAAGAAUCUGUCUCAACUCUUGAAGAUUUGGCUUUUCAUAUGAAAAUUUUAUUAUCACAGCUUGUUGAAGGCCUUCCUCCUUUGUGAAUGAAUUAACUUCAUCC